Molecule: long non-coding RNA, 4102 nt
Organism: Triticum aestivum (bread wheat)
Lineage: Eukaryota; Viridiplantae; Streptophyta; Magnoliopsida; Poales; Poaceae
Exons: 3
Source: RefSeq, a predicted model, not a curated record
CAGAUGAAAAAAGUGUGAGCGAGGGGUGGACAGCAGCGAAGAAGGAGUGGGCUGCGGUGAAAACCUAGCCCCCGAUCCUUCCGCCCUCCCUUGAAUCUUCUCCCCGCCCCGCAGCCGCCUCCCCGAGCUCUCUCCAAUCUCUCAUCUCCUCCCUUCCUCCUCGUCCACGUACGCGCUCGCCUCCGGCCACCUCCGCGGCCAGCCCUCCUCUAUCUUCUUCUUCUCUCCAUCUCCAUCUCCUUCUCCUAUCCAUCUCCAUCUCCCUCUCCUCUCCUCUCUCCUCCACGUGCCCAACACCCGCGCGCUUGCCUCCUGCACCAACCGCAGCCGCUCCAUCGGGGCUCAGCCGGCGCGGGUUGCCAUGGGGAAGGAGCAAUGUGGCGCACACUUCAUGAGGUGUAGGAGAAGACAUGGGUGAGCUCCAGCGCCAGGUGAGGAAGGAGGGGUUUACGGGCCGGAUCUGGCGGGUGAUAGGUUGGAGCUCGAGCUCGAGACUGAGACAGGGAAGGUGAGGAGGAGGCGAGGGAGAGGCGAAGAUGGCAGCGUGGAUGAAAGGAGAGAAGAGGUCGGUGACGCAGAUGAAGGCGAGGAGCAGCCGGUGGCAUGGAUCAAGGGGGAGAGCACCGUCGUCGUCGGUGAUGCACAUAUGGGAAAGAGGGAGGUGAGAGCGCCGAUCCAGGAGGCGGCUUGGCUCGGCCCAGCCAUGGAGCUGGCAUUGGAGACUCCCCGCUGACCUCCUUGGCAAGAGAUGUUGUGCCUGUAGAUGUUCCUGAAUUUGUCUUUGUAGUGGUCGGGUGCUGCCACAAAACGUGUGACUAUAGUAAGAUGCAGUUCUCGACAAUCGCUAUUAGGUGCUCUCUCCCUGUUGGUUUUUUGUUUUUCUGGUUUUGAUUUCCUGGUAUUCAUUUUAUCUAAACACCACAAUCUAUCAGAUCUGAGAGAGAAGAGGAACAGAAGGGCACGGUGGAAGAAUUUGGUGAAGAACAAGGUGACUCUCUCUCUUCCAUGUGAACACGGUUCAUUUUGCUUUUAUAAUUUGUGCUAAUAAUAAUGUUUUAAAUAGCGGGCUAUGGCAUUUAGCGGCAACCCUUAAAAACAGCUAUAGCGGCAAAUUGUACAUGAAAUCAUUUAGCGGCAACACCCUCAAACAGCUAUAGCGGGGCUAUAGCCGACUAUUUAAAACUAUGCCUAAUAUACAUGAGUUGUGCAUAUUGAGCUAAAUGUAUUGGAAAAAUGGUCUGGUUGCAGAACAUUUGGUAGAAUUUUUUUUAUUCAAGAUGGAACAAGUUUGUUAUCGAUAUUCCUGUAAAUGGUUUGUAUAGUUUGUUUUUUUAUUAAGCAAACAUACGGUUGUAUGGUUAUCAAAAUUCAGAGGUUCUGCGAUGGCAUCAAGAUAGUCUCUUUUUUUAUUUCCCAUUUAACAUUACCAAACAGAACAAAGAUAGCUACAAAGAAGAGCAUAUAUAUUUGAAAUACUUGUGUGAUAUCUGCACUCUUGUCCUCAUAUAUCUCAAUCAAGUAGACCCACUUUUUUUAUGUGCAGAUGUUGGAGCAGCAAACAUUUAUGUUUGCCGCCCGUACUCACGCACAGGUGUAACGUCAUUCAUACAUCAGGUAUCUAUGCAUGACGCGAGAUAAGCCAGAGAAACCACUCCUCGUGAGAUCAAGGAGAGCAUUAAGAAGAUCAAGUUGAAAGGAGAUCACCUGAGGGAAGCCUCCCUUGCCAGACUGUUAGCUAUCUAAUCACACCAAAAUGACCAUUUUGCCACUGUGCUCGCCCCUUAAGCUAUAAAAGGAGGCCCGAGGCGACCUAGCAAGGGGUUCAAAUUUUAGACCCCCCAACACUUGUACGUACACGCUGCUCCCCCCGAGGAACCCUUGCCGGUCUAGAGCACGUCGUGUCUUCGUGUUCCUCCAGAUCAAUCCACCACAGUAGGAGUAGAGUUUUAUGCUGCAAAGCGGCCCGAACCCGGGCAAAAGAGAGCUGUCCAUCGCCGCGCUACCCCUGCCGUUUCUGCUCUUUGUGCAAUGUGAUCGUCCCCUUGCCGAACCUCAAAGGGGCACCCCUACCCCAUAGGUGAUCGUUCUUCCACGCCGAGAGCUGAUAUGCUUUGGAAUUUAGUAACAAUCACCUUGCGUAAUGCAGACUAACAUGGGAACGAAGGACGAUGAUCUUCUUGAACGUUUAAUGGUUUGACCCCUCCCUCCCAUUCUUGUUCUUGGCACCAUGAACUGAACUGUGCUCUUGAAAAUAUAAACAAACUUAUGAAACUGAUUUUUUUUGUUGCCCAUGCGGCUAUCUUUUGUUUUGAUAUGCAUCUAAUAUUGGUGAUGGUUGCGUUGCUGUAGUGUUCUGUUUUCUGCUUAUAAAUAUUUGUUGGUACUUUCGAAUUUGGGAUUACUUGCUUAGUUGCUGGAUUGAGAAACAUGAAUCCGUGAUUCUUUUGAUUUAUCCCAUAUGUGUGCAGGCUGGGCUGAGUUGCUGGAUAGAGAAAUAAAUUUUGUAUACUUGUUUGAUGUCUCAUUUGUUCAAACGAGUGAAAGCCUUAAAUUGCACAUAUGCUAUUAUGAUCAUCAGAUUGUUUGCUGCAUUCUGAGUUUGUAGUGUUACAUAGAGGAAUGCAACUCAUAUAUAUGGUCCUUUUAUGCUUAGAUUAUCAUAUUGGUUGUGUUGAUUGUUCUAUUUUAUUCCUUAUGAAUAAUUCCCAAGCGCACUUUGGUUAUAUUUCUUGAGGGAAAUAAUGCUAAUGUUGUACCUAUUGUUCCAUCACUAUUAGGACUAAUGGUUUUGUCCCUCCUGGGCAGAUGGCUCGGAUGCAUUCUUAUAUGCUACAUCCUCAUGGUAUUCCUCAAUCUUUAGCCUUGCCCAACUCUGGUCUUCCUCGGUUUGGUACUUCUCAGCCUACAAUCCAACCUACCUUACACUGGCCUGAUGAGUAGGCAAUUUAUUAUACUCACAAGCACAUCAUUUAUUGUAUCAUCCAGGUAGAGAUGGCAUAUUGGAGCAAGCAUCAUGUCAGGUUUAGGGCAUACAAAACCUUUAGUAUGUAGAAAUUUCGCCCCAUAGUUACUGUACACCGGCUGGAGAGAAAUUAUUGGACAGAUGCCCCAAUUAUAAGAAAGAAUAAUUUCAUAAAUCAGAGGGAGAUAUGCUCUCAUAAAUUGCUCACCGUUUGAAGGUUUAAUACAUAUCGUCCUGAUGAAGCCGUUUUUCUGUUUGUAGUUUCCUAUAUCAACAACUCCCUAUAUUACCCCGAAAUGGAUUAUUGCUUAUUUAUUUUUUCUUAUUCACACAUUUAUUUAGUUCAGAGGAAUACCAGUCAUUUACAAACACAACUGAUGGCAAUGUUCGCAUGGAUUAGAAAGAAAAAAUAGUGAUGCCAAAAUAUAAUUUGAUCACACCGCAUUACAAUGUUGUGGUUUGCCAAAGAACUGAGCAAUGGUUCACAUGGAUUGCUGAAAAUAUUAGUAACAGAAUGACAAGUGCAUCAUAAGAACUAAAUAAUCUGGAACUUAUAUAUAUAUAUAUUUUAAAUUAUGCAUUCAUUGCUGAAAAUAUUGUUUGAUGUAUGCAUCACCUCUCUUCCAUUUAACUAGAUUUCUAUAUCUUAUACUAGGAUGUCGAUGCCGAUGCUUCUCUGGCUGCUACUGAGGAUGGCAGUGAUCCUUUCACCCACCUAAAAUCAAAGACGGGUUGUUCUUCCCAUCGCUUGUUUAUUUAUGCUAUGAAGUAAACAGGUACAAUGAUCCUCUUUCGCUAAACAUGGGUGUCUGGAACUUAAGGAACACUAGUGGUGGGAAAGCAGCUGGAGGAAACAAGAAAGCGCAGUAACUACUUUCCUAUGGUACUUGUUGCGUGCUUGUUGCUGAUUGCACACCCUAUGGUGCUUGAUGCCGAUUGCAAUGGCAACGCUUCAUCUCCGCAGGCGAUCCAAGCUGUGCUCGUCAUCUACACUAGUGUUAAAACUAUAUUCAGGCGUGACUAUAUGCAUGCCAUUUGUGUAAUAGAAUAUUUAUAGCAAAUAUCCACUAUAAUUUAUUCUUUCGUGUAGGCACAUGCCUUUUCUCUCUUUAACACAGUACAUUAGUUAAGAAUUUUCAA